GACGAACGCUGGCGGCGUGCCUAACACAUGCAAGUCGAACGGAGAUAUCCUUCGGGGUAUCUUAGUGGCGAACGGGUGAGUAACGCGUGGGUAACCUGCCCUUUUAUCGGGGAUAACUUGCCGAAAGGUGAGCUAAUACCGGAUGUCCUAUGUUGAUCACCUGAUUAAGAUAGCAAAGGUGGCCUCUUUAAAUGCUACCGUAAAAGGAUGGACCCGCGUCUGAUUAGCUAGUUGGUGAGGUAAAGGCUCACCAAGGCGACGAUCAGUAGCCGGCCUGAGGGGGUGAACGGCCACACUGGGACUGAGACACGGCCCAGACUCCUACGGGAGGCAGCAGUGGGGAAUCUUCCGCAAUGGAUGAAAGUCUGACGGAGCAACGCCGCGUGAGAGAUGAAGGUCUUCGGAUUGUAAAACUCUGUUUUUUGGGACGAACGGCUCAUAUGUGAACAAUGUAUGAGAUUGACGGUACCAAAGGAGGAAGCCCCGGCUAACUACGUGCCAGCCGCCGCCGUAA
RNAcentral lists this ribosomal RNA (514 nucleotides) under uncultured bacterium. RNAcentral describes it as "partial 16S ribosomal RNA". It matches the Rfam family "Bacterial small subunit ribosomal RNA", at positions 28 to 523 of the family's 1533-position model. The record is from RNAcentral.